Molecule: long non-coding RNA, 1238 nt
Organism: Bos taurus (domestic cattle)
Lineage: Eukaryota; Metazoa; Chordata; Mammalia; Artiodactyla; Bovidae
Source: Ensembl
CACACUGGCAUCGUCCGUUCCUUGGGGUUUCUGUUGCUGACAGCAUCUUAAUCUAUGCCAGGUGAUCAUGAAGAACCUCAGAGGAAAAGGUGACAGGUUUGAACAUUUUCCUAGGAAUCCAUGAACAACUCUUCAAGAACAACUGUUUGGGCAGUGUCGUGAUGACCAUGAUAAUUUUAAAGAGUUGGAGGGGAGGUUGGCCCGGGUCUUCUCCAGGAAGCUGGGCAUCCACCUUUACCUGACGUCCAGCCAGCAUCUUAGGGGACUUCAGCACUCAUAUGGAUCUGAUCUCUAAAUUUUGUAAACCAACCGCCUCCCAGAAACAACCUCCUUUUCCUCUUGGCUUCAGCCACCCACUCCUGAUCCUACUUUGGCCCCAGAAGCGCCCCACCCUGGAAGCCACGAGGACUGUUACCUUCCUCUGUCCUCACUCCUGUCUUCCUGACAGUCCCUUGCGGUUCUCCCCAAUGCAUUAGGUCCCUUUCACUCUCUCAUCUUCACUUCCUGCUUUUUCUACUGUAGUAGGUGAUCUGGAUUUCUACCAUUCUCAGCUCCAUCACUUCUGUCCUUCUGCCCCAUCCACCUGACAAAUGCCAACUUUGGAAAAGUAAAGUACUAGGAGGAAGGGCUUUGGGAUCGACAAUGAUCAUUAUCCCCAUUAAGUUGCCACUUUUUUGGUCCCAAAAUCCAAUGGGAAUUUCAGUAGCUACAUCUCUUGACUUCUUGGCUAUAUUUCAUGAUGGUGACUAUAUCCUUCCUUUCAGACCACCAUUGGAUUCUGUGCAUAGGCUGCUAGUUACUCCCCUGUAUCGAUUCACCUUUUCUUCUUGGUAACAGGAUCUCUGGUUUUUGAGUUCAAAAAUAAAGACUACAGUUCUCAGACUAUUUUGCAACUAAGUUUUGUGACUGAACUGUAGUGAGUAUUAUGUGCUAUGUGACAGUUCCUGGAAAUCCACCUUAAGAGGUUGCUUACUUAUUCCUAUUCUCCCUUUUAUUCUCCAUCCCUUCUUCCAUUCUGCUACCUGGAAAGCAGAUGUGAUGGCUGGAAGAAAUCAUCUUCUCACUUGUUUAAACCACUCUCCCUUGUAGCCCAAUUAAAUCCUAAGUGAAAUUGCUUUCCUGACAUCAAGCCCUGUUGGAUUUUCUCCAGCCUCUCUGAGCUGCCUUUAAGCAGUCAGCUUUGCCUAAUCCUCCUUUUAAAAUCGCAGCAUUGAAACUGGGUACAUGGAACCUCUCUG